CAGUCGCCGCGGGAACACGAAGGGUGCAAGCGUUACUCGGAAUUACUGGGCGUAAAGCGUGCGUAGGUGGUGGUUUAAGUCUGUCGUGAAAGCCCUGGGCUCAACCUGGGAAUUGCGAUGGAUACUGGGCGACUAGAGUGCGGUAGAGGAUAGUGGAAUUUCCGGUGUAGCAGUGAAAUGCGUAGAGAUCGGAAGGAACAUCUGUGGCGAAGGCGACUAUCUGGGCCAACACUGACACUGAGGCACGAAAGCGUGGGGAGCAAACAGGAUUAGAUACCCCGGUAGUCCCUGUCUUUUAUAC
This 301-nucleotide ribosomal RNA is filed under the name uncultured bacterium. RNAcentral describes it as "partial 16S ribosomal RNA". It matches the Rfam family "Bacterial small subunit ribosomal RNA", at positions 509 to 809 of the family's 1533-position model. The record is from RNAcentral.